This is an RNA transcript of Caenorhabditis elegans, 13399 nucleotides long. It is a transcript of the gene named Non-coding transcript of protein-coding gene ubr-4, with no coding region annotated. Lineage: Eukaryota; Metazoa; Nematoda; Chromadorea; Rhabditida; Rhabditidae. The transcript is spliced from 20 exons. The record is from RefSeq and is marked reviewed.
AUGGAUCCGCGUGAAACGGCAAUCGGACUUGUCCGAUAUGUCACCGAAAAUGCGGCAAAGGAUUUCGACGGAGAAUCGAUUGCAGCAAUUAUUUACAGACUACGGGUUGUUGAAAAUUAUGUAAGCAGCGAUGUCGACAUUAUCUGCGAAGCAAUGCGAAUUUUAAUCAAAAAACUUGUAAAUCUACCUCCAAUAACAUUUUCUCCGGAUGUUUGGAUGCCUAUAAUGACAUCUAUAACCGAAGGUGCAAUUGAACCACAAUGGCGAAUCAUGAUGGAAUCAAUCGAUAUUUCCAAGUUUUCUUCGACUUCUUCUAAUUUUGUGCAUAUGGAUUCCAUUACUGCAUCUUCUACAAAAUGUUCCGAACAGAUCACAUCAAUUUGCAAGGGAUUCGCUCUUGAAUUCGGAUUGACUCGUCGACUUUUCUCAGCUAUUUGGAACACUGAUCUUGAAGAAACAGCGCGUAAAAUGAUGAAUCAGGAGUGGGAUUCUGUGAAAAUCGAUUCAAGCCCAGACUCGGCGAAACAAGCGGCUGGUCUUAUUGAGAAGAGCAUUUUUGAUUUAUUCUCCGAGAUGAAGGAUCAUGAAACAUUCGCGAACGAAUUGUACUAUGCAGCGUUGGCGAGAAUUUUGAAACGCCUCCAAGAAAAUAAAAAACCGGCAAUUCAAGAUUCAGAAGACAUUUCAUUUUACGAAUCUUCACUUCACAUCUACGACGAGCUAAUCAAAAAGUUAUGGCCACAUUUAUCGAAAAAAGAUCCAAAUGUCAAAAAGAAUACUCUCAUCAUUUUUGAGAAAUUAAUUAGUCUAUCACCAACUGAUGUUCUUGUUCAAAGAAUCACUGAAAAAUUUAUUGACUCUUGUGAAUGGCUGAAAAUCAGUGGAGAAGAGAUUUGUACAUCGAUGGAACCGAGACUCUGGAAAAUUGUUGGAUCUCUGGUUUCAAGGAUUUUGGAUUUAAAAAAGACGAUUCCAUAUGAAAUUGAUUGUGGACCAGAUAGUUUCGAUUCAACAUGCGAUCAACCAUCAAACAUGAAAGAACGAUUUCUGAGACAUAUGGUGGAUUCGGUAUGGAUUUUAAUUCAAAUUACACAUUUUAAUACCCAAAAAAAGUAUUUCCAGACACGCAGCUCGUUGUUAAGCAUCAUUCAAUUUCUUCGGACGGCCAAAAGCAGCGAAGAAAUUGUGCAAUUUAUGAGAGUUUUCUAUCCAGAGCUCGUAUUCGGAAAUGAGACACUGAUCACCCAUGCAGCAAUUGAAAUGCUCCGCGAGUCAGCAUCACAUCACUCAAUUAAGGCAGAUGAUUUUAUUUCAAUUGUGCUCUCAGUCAUUGAUGCUCCGGCGAUUGUUCGUAUUAUUGAUGUUAUUAGUUGUAUUAAAGAUGAAAAAGUACGAAAAGAAGCAGUUGAGAAGACAAUAAUUCGAAUGGCAAAUGAUUUGGAGGAUGAAGAUCAGAAAAGAGAAGGAUAUGUUAAUCAUUUACAUGAAAAUGGAUCGUUUUGGAAUGAUAUUGCAAAAUAUGCGGAUGCUUCAAUACUUGAUAAAGCUGGAAAACGAUUUGUGGAAGUUUCAGUUGAUAGUAUGGAUAUUCGAUCAUCGGUUUUAGCUACAGACAUCUUUUUGACAAUUCUCAAGUUAAAACUUACCUCCGAAGCUGAAAGGGAGCCAGAGAGCUGUGUUAUUUGUAAUGUUUCCUACUCGAAUAUCAAAAUCGACUUGGAAAAAUGGAAUAAAAUGGGAAAUAUCCUUGUGGAGUGCAAUAUGGUUAAACGAUCCAAAUCGGAAGCUCUACCGCUCUUCACUAUUCAUCAAUUGGAGAAUAUUGAUCUACCGAUGCGAGAUUUGGUGUAUGUUGUUACUCAAAUGAAGUUUCUCGACACGAAAGAAGGAAUGGAGUUGCACAGAAAAUUCUAUGAUGGACUUCCAGGUGUCAACGUGAUUUUUGAAAAGUUCAUGUCGAAAAGUCAUAAAAUUGAACUUUGUAUGAAGCUCCUCGAUGAAUUUGCAAAGAUCAUUGCGAUCAACGAGAAAAGUUUGAUAUUCAGUCUGGAUCAUGAGAAUAUUCUAGAUUGGCUUGAAGAGAUUGGAGUUCUUGAUUCACCACAAAUCACUGAGAAACUUGUCGAUAUAUGCUUCUCAAUUGAAGUAUGGGAUGUUCUAACACUACUGCAACUUGAUGGUCCUGAAUGCCAUUAUUGGGAUUUACAAAUGUUUGGAAGAUUCUGGAAAACGUCUCUGAUGGAUUUAUUAGAUGAGAAAAUGAUGAAGAAGGUUAACGAGAAAAUGGGAUCGAUUUUAAAGGAACAAUAUGACAAACAAUCUCAUGUUGCAAAGGCGACACGCGAGAAACGAUCUAAUGGAAAAUUCCCGAAUCGUCCGAAAGUUGCCGAUUGGGAAGAGCAGCUUCUUCUGAUGCACAAUCGAAUUGCCGGACAUCUUACGAAGAAGAAGGUCGAGGAUUUUGCAGACGAGUCAACACAAAAGUUCACAUGGCUUUUGGGAGUAUGCAGUGGGCAAAUGUCGUAUAAAAAGGAAGUUGCUGUUGAUGCGGAGAAGAUUCUUUCGAGACUUUAUCCAGAUGCUGAGAAGCGGAACGAGGUCCUUUAUCAUUUUGGUGUGUCGUCGAUAUUGAAGGGACUGGAUAGGCCACGUGGGAAAUUUUCCAGAUCACUUCACAUUCUCUUCAUGCAAAUCUACCUCGACCUCGUCCAAAUUGACUCAAAAUCCUGGAAAAUAGAUGAUUCUGUGCAAAAACUAAGCCGCCGACUCGGAGGCUUCAACGAAUGGCUUAUGAUAGUUGAUGAGGAGAAACGAGAAGAUGAUGGUGGAUUCCGUAUUUAUAUUGUUCUCAAUUUAUCCCAUUAUUUCUGGGAAUUGCUCGAAGGCUGUAAAGCUUCACAAGUUGUCGAUGCUCACGCUAUUUUGAAAAUCAGAAAAUUCGCAGAAGUACUUGCAAGCAUUUUGGAUAAAAUUACUUUUUGGCCGAAUCCAAAACUUCAUGCCUACUACUACAUUGCACAAUUUCUCGAGCCACUUGAAACUAUUUUCCAUUUCCCGGAAAUUGCCGAACAAAAUCGAAAAGUUAUUGAAUCAUUCUUUAAACAAUUGUUUGAUAAGCUCCUCGAGCAAAAAUACCAGGAAGGACUUCUACAGGAUACGAAACUCAUUAUUCAGAAAACGGAUAAAUAUCUGUCGUCUUCAUUGAAUCUGUUCAAUGAGUAUAAUACACAAGAACCAUCGAAAAUCUAUCCGGUUAACGAGAUUUUCUCACUUUUCUGUAGAUAUGGAUCGGAAAAUGUGCAUUUAUAUUGUUUAAAGAUGAUUAAGAAGUCAUUGCAAACACUCGCAUCGAAUAUUUUGGAGCAUGAGCACAUUUUAAAGGGAGAAGUAUGCAUUGAAACGGAACUUCAAAAACGACUUGUCUGUGAUGCUGUUUUGCUCACCGAGUUCUUUGGAUAUUUCAGCUGCAUUUACGCCCAAGUUUCUGAAAACCAACCAUCCGAACACGAUGACGUGGCGAAGGCAUUUAUGCUUCUUGACUCGGAUAUUCAUUUAAAAACGAAAUCACGUAAAAGAAGUACACAGAAUAGUGUAGCAGUGGGUAGUCAUCGACAUCAAACCGCCGAGAAUAUGGAUUUGAACUUUUGUACUUACAAAUCCACUGGAAGAGCAUACGUGACCCAACAUUGGUACAACUGUUAUACGUGUAACAUGAUGGAAUCCGAAGGUGUCUGCAGUGUAUGUGCUAUCAAUUGUCAUCGAGGACACGAUCUUGCUUAUUCGAAAAAAGGAUCAUUCUUCUGUGAUUGUGGUGAAAAAAAGUGUGGAGCUAUGCAGGGAAUUUAUCAUUUACCGAAUUCGAUGUACUCGCUGAGAGGACAACUUCCCGAAAAAAAUGGAGAUAAAACAUUGCCUAAAAUCAGAAAUGUUUUUGAGCAUCGUUUUGAGAAUUUGAACAGCAACUGCUGCGAUGAGCUCAAGUCUGCGUUGAAUGAUGUUCAGGAAGAGUUUAAGGAAGUUCAAGAUGAUUUGGAACAGAUUCUUGAAGCUGUCGACUUUGCCAAUCAAAAAGCUUUACAAGUGACAGAGGAGCGGCUGGCAGUCUUAGAAUCCUUCAAUGAUAUGGAUGAUGUUAUAAUUUCUGAAAAAGAAAAGUUUAUUGAACCACUCGAAUCAGGACAUUUCCUUCCAACACGGAGAGAUGAUCUACCAGUCCAAGAACUUCGUGUUGCUUCUUCUCAACACAAAAUUCGAGAAUUAUCAGAUAUUAUUAAGUUGGACGAUGGAACAGAGCUUCUUGUAUUGAUACCUGAAAGUAUUCAAACAUGCCUUCAGCUGCACUAUAUGGAUACGAGAACUAAUUUGAUUCAAGGAAUGCACGCACUUCGUACAGAAACCGAACAAAUUCCAUUCAAUGCCAGAAGUCUUCAUGUUUCCGGUAAUCGAUUGGUCGUUUGUGGACAAUACGAGUUCUUUGCGCUGCGAUUUUCACCUCAAGGAGAUGUUAUCGAUAGAGCACAUAUUAAAUUGUUGGAAAAUGGAGCCUCAUCUUCUAUGAAUAAUAAUCCGGUUGUUCGUGCAAAGUUUUGUAGGGAAAUCGAGUCGGAUAAAAGGAGAAGACAGUUGAUUGCAGGUUUAUUUCGAGAGAAAGAAAAAUGUUUUUAUAAAAUUGCAGUACAUUUUUUCAAAAAUGAACAGCAGUGAUAUGUUUUCAACCAAAAAAAAUUAAAUACAAAUUUUCCCGAAUUUUUUCCUCCUUUUGACGAAAAGUUAUUGCAUAACAGUUUUCUUUCUGUUUUUGGCCUGGAAAAAAAUUUUGCAACAAAAAAAUUAAAUUUUUGCCUUAAAAAACCAACAAAAAAAUCAACUUUUGAAACAAAAAAACACUUUUUUUGGGAAAAAUCAAUUUCUGCCUAAACAAUUAAAAAUCACAUAAAUAUUUGCAAAAGAUAAAACUAAAAGUAAUCAAUUUUUGCUACAAAAAUUCAAUUCUUGCCUUAAAAAAAUCCAACAAAUCAAUAUAUUGGCAAAAAAGCAAAAAAUAUAUACAAAAAAAUAAUUAUUUUUGCCUUAAAAAAACCACAAAAAAUAUUCGCAUAAAAAAAAGGUAUAUGUUGUCUUAAAAACCAAUAAUACAUUAAAAAAUAUUCUCUUAAAAACCAAUAGAAAAAUAGUCGCAAAAAUUUUCAAAAUGCCCAAAUCUCAAAAAAAAAAUUUGGCGCUUUACCAAAAUUUUGGGAGGCAUUCAAAACAAGAUUUCAUUAAAAUUCUCAAAUUCUUUUACUGGAAACUUUUGAAAAAUCAAACAUUUUCAAAGUUUUGUAAUGAUAUUUAAAAUAUAAUACCUACUAUUCUUUAAAUACCGUAAGACUAUAAUUUCGAAUUUUUAGUUGCCACAAUGCAAUACAUCCGAAUCUACGAUCUGACACUCCACGAAACGAAUUUUGUGGAAGAAAUGGUUCUACCAGCUGGAAAUGUUGAAGAUGUUGAGAUUAUAAAUCAGGAAGAUGGAAAUGUUCGAAUUCUUGUUCUCUCGUCAAGUGGAUAUCUAUACGAACAUAAUAUUUCCGUGUUCAAUGCGGAAAACAAUUCGAUUUUCUUGACAAAUGUUGUGAAUACUCCUGGAAUGGAUAUGAAUGGAGAUGGUGUUUCAUUACAUUAUUCAUCAACUUUUAAUCUUCUUUUUGUUUCUCUUGAAAAUGGAGCAUUUGUUGCUCAACUGCCUGAGCCAACUGGUAAUUCGACGGCUCCGAUUUAUGAUUGGAAACAUUUGAAUAUCAAAAAUCCGGUUGAUGCAUGGAAGGAGACAUCUGGAAUUAUUGCAUGUUUAUCUACAAACUGUAAUCAUCAAGUCAAUUAUUUCCAUCCGACAGUUGGGAAGAUUCUACUACAAAAGACUUCUGUGAAACGAAGUAUUAUGACGUAUUUCCUGAUGACAAGCGCCAAAAAUCAAUCAGUCUACUCGGUUCUCAUCUAUCCGAACGUACCGACUUGUGAGAUUUGGGAGACAUCUUGGAAUAAUGUACAUGAUCUUUGGAUUGAUGAUGUUCCAACCGAACGAUAUGCAGUUGAAGUUGUUGAGCAAAAGAGCACACAGAUACCAAUUGAUCGAGAUGAGCUUGUACUUCUCGCCGAACAGUGCGAACAAAUUCGAACUGUUGAUUGGAAUUGUCGGGAGAUUGGAAUGUUCUACACACAUGAAGAGUUGAAUAAUCGGCUGUCGAGUUCCGACUCGCUGCCGAUUACACUUAUUCAGCAGACACAUUUUAAAUUAUCGGCAAGGAUCACUAAUUUUAGACAAAUCGUGAGAAUGAUUCGAGUUGAAGUUGAGGGUAACACUGGACCGGAAUAUCUGAAAAUCGGAACAACUCGCUAUUCGAUUAGCUCACGUGGUCCAAAAACAUUUGAUCUUCGGCUAUCGCGGGAAGAAUCGCUUGCUCUGGAUCAUCGAGAUAUCACAAUUGAAGUUAUUCCGAGAUCGAAUCAAAAUCGAGUUACACUGAAAAGUCUGAGACUAUUGGGAUGUGAUAGAAGUGCAAUGGACGAGAUUCAACCGAGAUAUGAGAGACAACCGAUUCUUACGAAUUCCAAUAAACUCGUCUAUUCGAUUCUGGAAUUUGCCACGUUGAGUGGGCUUGAAUGGGCUGGAAAUAUGGCGAAAAAGCAUCUUUCACGGAAGUUAAACCAUCCAGCUGUGUGCUCGGUUUCCACAAGAGCAAUUGUUAAAUGUCAUCCAUCUGUUGAUGAAGAGCUGUUCAAAAUUAUUGAUGGAGCAUAUCUUCAAGAAUGGAAAGCGCUUAUCGAUUGGACAGAAUCUGAAGGCUUUGGAGAGAUGCGCCUGCAUCAUGUAGAACAACUUCUCGAUAGAAUGGAAGCUGUCAGAACUCGUUGGCCAUAUUUUGUGAAGUCGUUGAAACGAGAAUUUGGAACAGUCACAAGUUUUGUGGAAUUAAUGAGAAAUGAGAUGAAGAGAAUGCCGUUGCACAGAUGUCAGAUGAUGGCUCAGGCGAUUGUUAAAAUUGUCUUUGGGCUCUUGAGCAAUGGAACUAAUGAGGCAGAGCAGUUGAUUCAUGUGUUCUUGAAUAUUUUUACGGAUCAGGACACUUAUCACUUGGCAAAUGACAUGAGAUCAGCUGUUCAAGAGACGAUUUCAAGAUUUGAAAAUGCUUUGAAAGAAGAGAAAAAGUUGAUGGUAGAACACGAGAAUAUGGAUAAAGAAAGUGUUCUAAGAAUCAAAAACUAUGGAUUUUCCCCGUUCUAUGGAGCUCCAAGAAUUAUUGCAAAGACUCCAGAAUCAAUGCUUAUCGCGAAAAUCGCUGAAACUAUUCCGAUUGAUUCUGAGGAAAACUUCAAAUGGCUCGAACAGCUCAUCUCAAUGAUUUUGGAGAAGCUCACCCGAUCCAACUCCACUGUCACUUGGCAGAAUCUAUCUGAUUCUCCAUCCUACAAUCUUUCUCGUGUCCUGGCAAGCUGUCUUGCUAUAUGUGAUCCCGUUAUAAUCAGAAAUCACUUUUCCCGACUCAUUCAUAUCAUCAAAUAUGACGUUGAGAAGAUCUUCCCGAUGAGUGAAAAAUCCUAUUCAAACUAUUCGUUGCUAAGAUCUGUUGAGCUUCUGCUAUUCGUUUGUCUUGAGAAAAGAGGAGAUGAAUCGAAAGAAAAUCAGGAGAUGCUUGAUUCAAUUGUUCAUGAUCUUCAAGCUGUUGGUAUUCGGAAUUUGUGUCUGAAGAUCUUAGAAAAAGUAAUUCCGCACUGGAAGGAUCGUGGGCCAUCUACAUUUUCGAGAAAUUCAGCGGAAAGUCGGAAGGUUUGGUUGCCACACGUUCCGUUGGUUUCUUCAUCGGCGAAUCCUCCGAAUACUUCAAUUAUGAACUGGCCUUCAACAUCCGAAGAUUCUUACAUAAUCGCGUGUACUGAUCUGAUUCUUCUCAUCCCUCAACACUUACAAGAACUGGAUCGUCGAAAAUCAGUGCCACGUGAUGAUCAAUGGAUCCAGAAACUAUGCCAACUGGCAUCACUGAGCAGUGGAUGCUCUGCGUAUCGUCAGUGCAAGAAGCUUUUGCUCGCAAUGUGCCACAAUGAUGAGAACAAGUACAAAAUAAUGAGAGACAAGUAUAAAAUGCAAGAUCUAUUGCAACAACUCGUGAAAAAAUAUUUGGAUGUUAGCAAAGAGGUUGGCGGACAUCAGCAAUUGACUGAAAUUGUUGAUGUACUUGCGUCGAUUACUAAAUUGGCAUUGAUUCGACCUGAUAUGUGGAGAGAUGUUUGCAGUACUCAUACGACUUGGCUUCUCCGCCUCGCUUGCUACACAACUGACGUCGUUGCUUCACAAGUCGUCGAACUUCUUAUUGUAGCUGUUCGAGAUAGCAGUGUUGGUGGACAACUGAGUAUUCAACUGGCUGAUAGUAUUGUGGAGGCUGAAAAUGGAGAAUUUAUUGAGAAAAUCAUCAAAAGAUUUUUAAUUGGAAGAGAUGAACAGUUGAGAUGGACACUUCAUGGAAUGCUUCGUUCGGUUAUUCAACUUGCCAGUCGACAAAAUCAAUGUAUUCUCGUUAAGAAGCUUUAUAACACAAUUUAUCCACUUGCGGCGAAUCUCGGAGUUCAAGGAGCCCAACUUGUUGAUUUAAUUGCAACUUAUGCUCCAAGAGUUUUCAGUUCAACGGAACUUGUUGCAAUGACACAAUCAGAAAUCUCAACUAUUGAAAAAAUAAGGAACACUUUGAAUGGAGACGGAUAUCAAGGAAUGUACAAACUGAUGAGUGAUCUUGGUCUCGGAUGGAAAUCUAUUAAUUUUGAUAGAAAUCCAUGUUUGGUAUGCUUCACGAGUAAAGGAAGUCAUGAUGUUGUUAAAAUGACAUCAAUCAAAUCGGAUAUUCGAUAUUCGGCGAAUACGAUAAUUUACAAGCUGAUUUCGAAUUAUGAAGUGUCAAAAGUGACGAUUAAGCUGACCGAGCUGAAAAAGAGCAAGUCGAUCAAGAAAGUUUCCCUCUACUAUUCUGCGAAAUCCGUUGAAUCUGUUGAUUUGAAGCUUCAUCCAGAACUUUGGAGAAAGUGUGCAAUGGUUACUGUAGCUGAAAAUGAGACAGUAAUCAAUCUAUCAUUAGCUGUUCCAGUUGUCACUUCUUCAUUGAUUGUUGAAUUUGAAGAAGUCGUUGAUCAUCGUGGAAGUAGUCAACUUCAUUGUCCCCGUUGUACAGUACCUGUACGUACACAUUCUGGAGUUUGUGAAAGUUGUGGAGAGAACGCGUUUCAAUGUGCAAAGUGUCGAGCGAUCAAUUACGUUGAAAAGGAGCCAUUUUUAUGUCAGAGUUGUGGUUUUUGCAAAUAUGCUCAGAUUAGUCUGUUCGUGGUUUGUCGAGCACUUCCCGGAGCCCAGCAUAUCACGUGUGACGCUGAAAGAGGACAAUGUGUACAGGAGAUUACACAGCUUUUGAUUAAAAUGGAGACUACGAAGACGAAACUCACUGGAUAUAGGGCGGCAUGUGAAUCUCUGUACCUCAGAAAUCGACCACUUCCACCAUACAAGCUUCACGUCGAGAAUAAUCAUACAUCCGAAUUUUUCGAUGCAAACGGAACAAUGAAUAUUGAACAAUUACCGUUUCAAUCAAUUACAAUGCCAAUGAAUAAUCUGGCAGUUGCUAUUCGAACUCUACACUCGGAAUUAUGUCAACAAACUCAACAAUUAAUGUAUUUACACGAAGAACUCAAUAGAUAUGAUCAUGCUAGUGAAGUUUCUGUUGUUUUUCAUAAACCACAGAAUAUUUCAUAUUACUCAACUGGUCAAUCAUGUUUCGGAUGUCUGUGCAAUCAACUUCUUCAUUCAGUGGCUCUACUUCAUUCUUCAUGUGAUGAUGAAAAUGCUUUAAAUUUGAUUCUUUCAUCUGAUUCUCUUAUUGAAAAACUAGGAGUUUUAGCACAAACGUAUGAAACACUUCGAGAAGAAGUCGAAGAACUUCUUGUUCGUUUAAUGUUUGAUCGUCUGGAUGUUACUACAAAAGUUGAGAAACUAAUUCAUACUGGAGACAUCAAUUUGUCAGUUAUGGUCAAAUCAUUGAUGUAUGCAGCCGAUCCGACUUGGCAGCAAAAGCUGAAAUUGCUUAUUCGAUUGGCAAUGGAUAAACGAGAUGAAAAUUGUUGUCUGCAGGCAUUGAUGGUUUUGAGUAAAUAUUUGGAGGCGACGAAAAGUGUGACUUUGGAUGAGAGAAAGAAGAUAAAAUUGACUCCAAAUAAGAAUAUUACCAAGUGGCUGACAACUGAUGAAGAAUGGAAAGAUUGCUUCUCGGUAGCAUCAACUUCAACUGCUCCAACUAAAUCAUUGCCUUCAAAUCCUUAUCAAUGGAUCACAGAUUGUCUAUUCUCUCAAUGGAUGUCUGUUCGUUCAGCAGCUAAUCAGCUUCUCGUCAAUCUCUCGAGACAACAAUUCCAUGAACCAGUUGCUCUACUAAUUCUAUGUGAGAAUAUGUCGAAACUCUCCGAUGUUCCAUCAUCAGUUUGUGAUCAAUUCAUGUGUUCUGCUCAUACAAUUAUCGAUUCAUCAGUUAACACGAAAGCUCGUUUAUUUGUUCAACAAUUCCAUGUUUAUCUAAUCAAACGAAUUCAUGAGGAAUGUGCAAAGUUGCAUGAGCAAAGUGUGAAUCUACUUUCGGAUAAUAUGUUUGGAGAACGUCUUCGUUGUUUCGUUGAGCUUCUUUCUCUUCUCCUAUCUGGAUCCAAUGUUGAGAAUGUUCUUUUGAAAGCCGGAGCCGAUGAUUUGCUUAUUUUCCUUCUACAUUCGACGAUUUUCCUGAAAAGAAUAAUGACACGAAGGACAAGAGCCACUGAUUCAUCGAGAAUUGCAUUGGAAAAAUUAUUGAAACGAGUUUCAUGUAGAGAUGGAACGAAAUUGAUGUCGGUCUGUGUGGAAUCACUGAAAUUGGUGAAAGAUACAUCGACAUUGGGAAUAAUUGUUGGUGUAAUGAUGGAGAUUAUGGAUCCACAACAAGAAACUGAAGAAUCUUUUUUGAUUCAAAUUGAGAAAGAUAUUGCGCAGGAGGACUUCUUGCAGGGAAGAAUGACACAUAAUCCGUAUAAUUCGAGCGAUCCUGGAAUGGGGCCAUUGAUGCGUGAUAUCAAGAAUAAAAUCUGUAGAGACACAGAGAUGAUAGCUUUAAUGGAAGAUGAUAAUGGAAUGGAAUUACUUGUAAAUGGAAAUAUAAUAUCUCUAUCAUUAAGUGUUCGAGAUGUUUAUGAUCGUCUUUGGAAACGUUCAAAUAAUGGAUCACCGAUGCUUAUUGUCUACAGAAUGCGUGGAUUAAUGGGUGAUGCUGUUGAGACUUUUAUCGAGAACUUCGGAGUUGCUGAUAAUUCGGAAGCUGAUGAUGAAGAGGAUGAGCAACUUGUUAGAAUGACACAUUGUUUAAUGGAAUGCGGUGGAAUUGAUAAACUUAUGGAUUUGUUGACGACUAAUGUGGAUUCUUCGUCUGGAAGUUCCAGAUUCCUCCUCUGCUACCUCCGAAAGAUCUUCGAACGAAUUGUAAAGAUUCCGAUUGGCAGAAAGAUUCUCGUUCAACGUCGGAUGGUGGAACGAAUGAUGUCAGUGAUCCGAACAUGUUGUGCUGAUCCGACAAACGAGUCGAAAGUUCUGAUUGGCAUGGAAUUGUAUAAAGUUGUCGAAUUCGUAGUGUCCGAUAAGCAUGUUCAAGAUAUUCUGGGUGGAAUUAGAGAAGAUGAUGCCAUGUGGUGGUUUGAUCUGUUCGAAAAGCGUGGAAAUGAAGAAGGAUCAGUGACAGAGCUACAUCGAAAGACUGCACAGAUUCUUGAUCAAAUGACUAUGAGCAUUGGAAAUAUUGUAUUGGGAAAUGAUGCAUCGGAGGGUGUUCUAGUGAAAAUGUACGAGAAAGUUUUGAAAUGGGAGCAAAUUGAUUCAGGAGCACCACCUUCAGGAGCCACCGAUCAUCAGAAUCGUUCAAGGAUUACGAAGAAAGAUCAGAUUAUGUUGAUGACUGAACAGCUGGCUACGAUCACUUCGAACAUUAUCUCAUCUGCUCAUGGAAUUCGUUUGAAGCAAAAGAUUCUUGACAGUGGAGUCAUCUCAUCCACGUGUAAUUAUCUUACCAAAGAUCUUCCGAAUCUCUAUCAGCCAACAGAAUCACCUGAAUGGAAAGUGUUUUUAGCGAGACCAUCGCUCAAGUUGAUUCUCACUCUUCUUGCCGGAUUAGCACGUGGACAUCAAGCUUCACAGAAGGAAAUUGCGAAAACAACUCUGAAGCUGAUGCAUCGUCUCGAGCAAGUAGCGUCGGACAACUCGAUCGGAACACUCGCCGAAAAUGUGAUCGAGGCGUUGAAUGAGGAUGAGGAAGUUCGGAAUCAAAUCAAGUUGGUACGGGAUGAAACUGAAAAGAAGAAGAAACAAAUGGCAAUGUUGAAUCGAGAAAAACAAUUGACAAAGAUGAGAAUGAAGGUUGGCACUGGUGGACAGAUUAAGGUUUCUUCCCGAACAUUGCACAAUGAGCCAAGCAUCGACGAUUCUGACUCACUUCCAUGUUGUAUUUGCCGUGAAAGUGUGAUAAGCGGUGACAAAUCAGCUGGAGUCUACGCGUUUGCGGCAAUUGAUCCAGAUUCUGGAAAGACGAGCACUGUUUCAAUGAUGGUUAUGGUUCACUUUAAUUGUCAUAAAGAUGCAAUUCGUGGAGGUGGUGGACGUGCAGCUGAUGAAUGGACACGGUCUAAACUUCAUAAUGCUGGUGCAAAAUGUAAUGUCAUAACGCCGAUUUCGAUGGGAGUGGUUAUUGGUGAUGCGUGGAUUGAUGCACUUCAUCGAUUUGAAAAUGAUGUUGGAAGAGUUUCCGGAUUGGCUCACGGAGUUGUUAACCGGAAUUUCGUUUUUGUGGAUAUCUGCAAUUUGAUUGAUCGAUUCAUUUACAAAAGAUCAUUCUCCAAUCAAUCCGAAGGUGGAGGUCGUGAAUCAAAUAUGCAAUAUCUUGCAAUUCUUCAUCUUCUUGGAAUCACUCUUCCAGCCGACGCAGAACUUGAAAUCUCUGCUCCGAAUCAUCGUCUCAUUGCGUUCCUCUUCACCGAGCUAACUGCUGAUAGUUGGAAUGAUCAGAGGAAUGAUGUACUCCGAGCAGGAAUUAAUGAUGCUCAGACAAAUGGAGCACCCGCCACGUGGGAUGGAUUCAAGCCAACACUAAUGACAUGGGCAUUUGUAGAUGCAUAUUUCAAUAAGGUUAUCAAGAUUACUGGAGAGGAUCGUCUCGAAUGGCUCCGUGAGCAUCUUGUAGAGACUAUCAACAAGACACGUGGAUUCGUGGAUGACUUUGACUCAAAUAUUCUCCCAUGUGAAGAUGUUGCAGAAUUCUGCGAUGUAACUGGAGCUCCGAUUGACGAUGUCAACUUGUUCCUGGCAGGAGGACCACCGCAAUAG